AUGGAUCCAUGGAUGCAGGCGUAUCUCGAGCGGAUCGACACCAUGCUCGACGCCUACAUCGACGCCACCAGGUCCCUCACCGAGAAAGUGGAUGCCCUGGUCGUCGCCUGGCGGCCAGACCUGGAGAAGAGGUCCUCCCACACCACCGUCGUCCACGGUCCACCAGCGCCGACCUCGGCGCUCGAGACCACUACUGAGGCAUCCGAACCCGUCCCUAACAUCUACUACUCUACCACCAAGGCGCAGGAGAACCCCACGGUCGCCCAUGAUGCAACUCCGAUAUGCAUUCCGAUGGUGCCUGUCACCUGUUCGACGGAUUGCUCGACCCAGGUCGACGCCAUCGAGAGCGCCGACGAAGUCCAUGACGCCACCACCGUCGCAAUGGAGCUUCACAACACUACAACUGCACUCGGCCCCGAGCUUGCGGUCGACCUCUGCAACACCAUGGCGACCACCAAGGUAGCCACCUGUGGUCACUACGGCAAGUUCGACGGCCUCAACAUCCCCGUGAAGGCCAGCAUCAGCCCGCCGCCCCACGUCCAGGAUGCAUUUCCAAAUUAUUCCACAAUCAGCAACUCCCGCGCCGAUGUUGCCGGGACGGAUGAGUACGCACUCGUGGAGGCCACUGCAGACGUCACCAUUGAGCUUGCCAUCCUCCCAGGCGUCUCCUCCUUCAUGAACAAGCUAUUCCGGAAGCAUGACAUGGACGUCUCGCCGCCCGCAAGGCACAAAGGGCUGCCAAUACGGCCGACACCAUGGCCGUCAUUUCUGGUGCAUCAUACUGCAAAGGGGAAUGAGAUUCGACCCACUCCGUGGCCAUCGUUUUCUUGCUCUCAUGAAGGUAUGACUCUGAAUCAUGAAACUCUGCUGCCUCAUGUUACAUGUGUGAUGAAGAAAUUACUUGCUAGAGGAUGUAGUGAUUUCACACUCGGAAAGACUGGUUUACCCAGAUUUCACGUUGAUAAUUCCGCGUAUAGUUCUAAGCAAGUUGGUGAUCUUUUGGUGCGCCGACCGCUUGUGAGACUUAAGCAUAGGGGCUGCCUAAAACCUUUGAGCAGCAACACUGAAGUACCUUGUUGGUUUGAUUACUUCAUCAGCAGAAGUCCACAAUACCCCAGGCAAUGUAUUGCCAACUAG
This 1137-nucleotide ribosomal RNA is filed under the name Triticum aestivum (bread wheat). RNAcentral's name for it is "partial small subunit ribosomal RNA". Lineage: Eukaryota; Viridiplantae; Streptophyta; Magnoliopsida; Poales; Poaceae. The record is from RNAcentral.